AUGCAUCGUACCAGGGAUCCCGAUCCCUUUUCCUCCUCCCGUCAAUCCCUCCAUCGCAGACGCCGUCGCCCUGGAGCUCCACCGCCGCCCGUCGCCAUCUACUCCUCUGGCCGCCGCGUCCUCCCUCUCCUCCUUCUCCAGCAAGCCAGCGCCCGCCUCCUACUCGCCUCGCCAUGGCGCGCCCCCGAUCAAGCGCCACUCCACAUCCGGAGUGCCCCUGCUCCCUUCUCCUCCUCGCGGCUGCUCGGCGCCUCAUCAGCGAGCUCCUCCGUCUCCUCCUUCAUACGCCUCUGUGCCCGCGAGCGCUGGGAUGUCAGCCUCCUCUCGCAUCCGAGGGGAUCCCCGAGCACCUCGCCGCUCUCUGCUGCACGCCGUCGCCAAGACCUUGAGCCGCAGCGCCCAGAGAUGGCCGCAUCUGCUCUGACCGGUCGUCAUGCGCCUCCACCCAUUUCCCAUGUCCCCGAUGCUGCUUGCAGCUGUGCCAAGCCGCCGCUGUUGCCUCUGCUCUGCCCGUUGUCCUGGUCGAAGGCGCAAAGUUCAUCUUGA
RNAcentral lists this ribosomal RNA (546 nucleotides) under Triticum aestivum (bread wheat). RNAcentral describes it as "partial small subunit ribosomal RNA". Lineage: Eukaryota; Viridiplantae; Streptophyta; Magnoliopsida; Poales; Poaceae. The record is from RNAcentral.